This 426-nucleotide unclassified non-coding RNA is filed under the name Hevea brasiliensis (rubber tree). Lineage: Eukaryota; Viridiplantae; Streptophyta; Magnoliopsida; Malpighiales; Euphorbiaceae. The record is from RNAcentral.
AAAAAAAAAAAAAAAAACAAAAAAAAAAAGAAAUUUUUAGAGAAAAGACAAAACCUCUCCUCUUUCCAUGUUAGUGUUCUCUCUCUCUCCAUGUAACUGUUUGAUAGUUUAUGGAGGAACCUGGUGUUUUCUGAAUAAGAUUUGGCUACCAUGAGCUGAAUUAUAAUAAAAUCAUAUAAAAAGAGCCGUUUUGAAAGCCCGAUCGGUUGGACCUAGGACCAGCGAUGCGUGAUAAUGCGUCUUCUCCAGUUCUACAUCAUUUGGUGACUCGACAUCAAACUGAUCGAAGUAGAAAGGGUGUCGUUUCAGUUGCAAUUUAUGGGAAAAAAAAAAAAAAACCCAUCCGACUUCUUCUCCCGCUGAGUUCCUAGAGACCAUUGAAAUCCCCAAUUCCUUUCCCUCUUACCAAUUCCUCUUCCUUCGCUG